Molecule: ribosomal RNA, 493 nt
Filed under: uncultured bacterium
Lineage: Bacteria
Description: partial 16S ribosomal RNA
Rfam family: Bacterial small subunit ribosomal RNA
Source: RNAcentral
GAUGAACGCUGGCGGCGUGCUUAACACAUGCAAGUCGAACGGUGAAGGGACAGGUUUUUGCUGGUUCUGGUUGAGUGGCGAACGGGUGAGUAACACGUGUGUAAACUGCCUCCUUCGUCUGGAUAACCGUAUGAAAGUGUGCCCUAAACGGGCAAUUCUGCGCCUGAUGCAUGGAGGGUAUGGGAAGAAUAUUCUUUAUGUGGGGGGCGGGCUUCCGGCUUAUCAGCUGGUUGGUGGGGUGAUGGCCUACCAAGGCGGUGACGGGUAGCCGGACUGAGAGGGUGGACGGUCACACUGGGACUGAGACACGGCCCAGACUCCUACGGGAGGCAGCAGUGGGGAAUAGUGCACAAUGGGCGCAAGCCUGAUGCAGCGACGCCGCGUGAGGGAUGGAGGCCUUCGGGUUGUAAACCUCUUUCGCCAGUGAAGCAGGCCUGUCCCUUUUGUGGGUGGGUUGACGGUAGCUGGAUAAGAAGCGCCGGCUAACUACGUG